CACACAAAAAAACAAACAGUGGCUUGAAUCCAGUACCCUUGAAUGAAAUCUAUCUUUCCUGAAUUCCCAGAGGCAGGGUGGUAGCAAAUUCAGUACCUUGAAUCUGGGAGAGAGGACAUCCUUUGAUCUAGUCCCUGGCUCUCAUUUCUGAUCUGCUGUGGGGGGAGGAGAUGACUAUCUCUCUGGGGCCUCCACCUGACUCUCCAACCUCCUCUUUCCCCAAAUGACUCCACUCGGAUUAAAGGGAAUUCAUGCUCCCUCUCUCCUCUGCUUUCUCCGCAGACUACCUGAUUCCUUCCAUCUGCACUGCUGCUUCCUGCUUCCCUCCUGCCUCCCCUUCCUUCCUUCUAACCUUCACUGACAUUUUCUGUUUCUCCACGAUUUCUCUCCCCUCCCUCAUCCCCUCCAACUCUGAUGGUGAAUUCUUUCCCUGGCACAGCCCUCCACUUGUUCGCCAGCCCUGCUGGGUUGCUUUCCUCAUUUCUGUAGCUUCUGUCCAAUUAUUUCUUUAGCCAGGCUCAUUGGGAGCCCUCUCCUCUGGCUACUCUGCCUCCUUUCUUCCUGCUGCUAGCCAUGCUAACACCCAGGAUUCGGAUCCAUUUGGGGAAGGGGUGGGAAGCUGGUUUGACUAAACUGGGGGAUGUUUGGCGAUUUGUUCUGUGUUCUGCUCUGAGGGCCCCAGCAUAGUUAAGAGAAUCUUAGGGGAGACGACACCAUUUCAUAGGCCAUUAAGGCUGCAGGACCUGGUGUUCAAGAACGUGGCAUCAAUAGCCUUUUUACAGUCAGCCCAUCCUUAAAAACAAGGGCCCCCUGAUGGGAAGGAGUGGAGGCCCUUGCCAUGGAAAACAAAGCUGUGACUCAGAGGCUUCGCGUAGAUGCUUCCUCGCUCGUCCACGUUCCUGAGUUUAACGUCUUUGGCUUGGGAAUUCACUUUGAAACUUUUCCAACAGAGACAAAAAUAGAGCUCAUAAAUGCCAUCACAGGCGCUUUUUAAUAAGGUGGCCUUUUAAGGGAAGACUGGGCUCCCAGCACUGGGUGUGAGGCAAGGAGCCUCGUGAGCCAGUGCUCGGCGUUCUCAGGCUGCUGACCAGGCUGCCGACCAGCCUGUGGCCAAACAGGGGAUGCAGGAAGAGGAAGCCGCUGGAGGUUUCUGUGCCUGAAACUACAGCAACCAAGUUCCUGAAAGGAAUGUUUAUUUUACUCAUUCAUCCAUUUAUUCAUCGCACAAGCAUUUCUCUGAAUAUUUAUUAUGUGCCAGGAAUGCUGCUUGGUGCUGGAAAUACCACAGACAAACAGAAAAAGGAAUUCCUGUCUCCGAGGAACUCACUGUCUAGUGAAGGACACAGAGAGGGUAUCAGGCAACCAAAAUCAGGAGGUAUUGCCAUGGGAGGGGAAUUUGGGGAGACAUAGCUCAGAGUUAGGGGAUGUGCACAGCUUCCUGGAGGAACAGAUGGAUACACGAAAGCCUGGAGAAUCAGCAGAGAAUUAACCUGGGGGAGGUGGGGGCAGGGGAAGGUAUGGAGAUGACUGUUCGGGGAAGAAGUAACAGCAUGUGCAGAAAGGGAGAACUUGGUUUACUUGAAGAAUUGAAAGUAGCUCUGUGACUGACUGGAAACCAUAUUGCUAAGUGGCAUUGGGAGAAUAAGAGAGCCCCUAGAGACAAAGGCAUGGUCACUGGUAAAGCCUUUCACUCCUGUCAAGGAGUGUGGACUUCAUCUGGAGGGCAGUGGGAACCAGUGAAGGGUUGUAUGCAAAGAAGUGACUCAGCCAGAUUGGCAUUUUAGCUGCAGAGCAGAGAAUGAGCUAGAAGUGGGAAGGCAGGUGAGGAGGCUUCUGUGAAGACCUGUCAGGAAGAUGGAAGUAGACAGGACUGGGAGAUAGCUAAAGUAUAGGAUUGUCUGAACUUGGUGUUGAAUUAAAAGUGGGCUUGAGAAGUCAGGAAUAAUUCCCAGUUCCCAGGCUGGAGCUACUGGGUGAGACAGAGAGCAAUGGAGGAGAAACCAGUUUUAGAUCUGCUGACUCUUCGUGUCUAUGGGAUAUCCGACUGAAGAUGUCAGGUUGGUAGUGGGGUGUGUAAAUCUAGAGCUCUAGAGAAAGACCUGGCUCAAGAUAGAUUUGGAAUGUUCUUCAGCAGAUGGAUGGCAGUGGAGCUGUGAGAGUGAAUGAGCGAUCUCGAGGCAAGUGAGGACAGUGUGAAGAGGAGAGGAAAUGAACGGAGUCCAAGGAAAGCCGAUAUGCAAAGGAUGGCCAAUGGAAGCAGCCAAAGAGGCAGGAGGAAAAACCAGGGGCAAUGGUCUUCUGUUGCUGGCCUCCAGCACUCAUUUCCCGCUUUUUCUGCCAAGAGCGCUCUGACCUUCCUUUGGGGAAUUCACUCCUCCCACAUUCCCAAUCCUGUGGUUUGGAUCCUGGGGCAGAGAAGCUGGCUGGUUCUGCCUGACCCUCCUAACUCACUUCCUACAGCUUCCCACUUGUUCUCUAUUCCAACCACAUUAAUAUUCCUUGAGUUUUUUUUGUUUUGUUUUUAAACCUUGCUCUCUGACCUUAGAAUCUUUAUCUCUCUGGACUGCUUUCUUUCCUCAUUCCCCUUCUCUAUACCCUCUGUCUAUUAACCUUCCCUCAGGGUUCAUACCUGUGCUCAAGCCUUUUCUAACAUUCCAGAUAAGACCAGGACAUUCAUUCAUGUGUUCAUUCAUUCACUCAUUCAUCUUUACUACUAGUAAGCACCUCUGUCCUUGUAUUAGCACCGUGCUGAAUGCUGGGACAUUAUGGAGAACAAAAUAGACAAGGUCCUUAGGAGGCUGACAAAUGAGUAAGGGAGACCAAUAAUAAACAAGUAAAUACUCAAAACAAUUACAAAAUGUUGUUAGUUUUGUAAAGGAAGUAAACAGCGUACCUUGAUAGAAAACAACAGAAGGUCCUUAUCUUGGAUUGGAUGGAUGGUCAGAGAAGGCUCUCUGCAGAUGUGAAAAUUAAACUGAGAUCUGAGAGCAAAGGCAGAACCAGCCAUGUGAAGAGCUAGGGAGAGUGUUUCGGGAAUAAGGAACAGUGAAUACGAAGGCCUAUGGAGGGAAAGAACUUGAUGGGCUCUAGCAGUUCUAGAAAAGUGAAGAUGAAGAAAGUGACACAAGAUGUGGUUGAAUAUGAGAAUCUUGUGGACAGUGGUACAAAGUUUGGAUUUUAUUCUUGUUACAAUGAGAAGACAUUCAAAGGUGUGACUUAAGUUUUAGUUAGGUUGGCCUGGAUGCUGAGUGAAGAAGGGAUUGAGGGUUAAACAAAGAAUUAGGAAGACUAAUUAGGACCCUCUCAUUGUGGUUCAGGUGAAAAAGGAUUAUGGCUAGUUGUUGGAAAGGACUAGGGAGAUGGAGAAAGUGGGUGGAUUUAAAACUAGAAUAUAUGGGAACACCUAAUGGAUUAGAUAUGAGGUAUCAGGAAAGAGGGGGCAAGGAUGAUGCUUAAUUUCUGGCCUGAAUGAGUGUAAAGAGAACCAGACUGGCUUGGCUUGAUCUGCCCCAGCCCCCUUUGACUCCCCUUGGAGACUCUGGGACAAAUCUACAGUAGCCCAGAGCUUGAGAAGCAAGAAUCAUUUGAACACCAUUGGGAUGGGGAAUCUUUAUGGUUCCUUCCAGUUUUGAAUUUUAUUUUUUAUUUGAAACUGAAAACUCUCUGUGAAUAGGGAUAAUAUUUCUAUUUCUUUUGACUUCUGUAGUUACAUAGGUGGAGCUCUAUCCAGGGAGCAUUCAGUAAGUGCUAGUUGACUGUUCACUUUGGCACCGACCUUCUAUAAUUGAAUUUUAGAUUAAAUUUCCUUUUUAAAAUAGGAUUCUAACGUAGAGUAAACUUUCAAUUGAAAUCAAUUCAUUUUGAUAUAGUAGAGCCAUGGCAAAGAUAAUCCAAACUGUAAAAUGUAAAGUAAUUUCUAUUUGAGUUGAGUCAGAGGAAAAAAAAAAAUGUGUUUGUGCUAAACUAAUUCUCUACAUUUAGGUAAAGGUUAUUUUAGGGCAAAUGCCAACAGGUGGUGGACCAAACCCACUCAGAACAGGACCAAAAAACCCACGGAAAAGAAUUCAUAACAGUGAAUAUAAUCUAUAUUUUUGGUAAUAUAUUUUUUGUUGAAAACAUAUUAAUUCACUAAAGAUUUAUUUUGAAGCAAUGACUUCAGGCAAUUUUUAGACCUGUUUUAAAGAUGAAUGAGACAGAGAUGGAGCUGUGUUGUCAGUCGAAGACCAAAAAUCAAAGAAAAGCUGAACUCAAGCUUACCAUUUUCUUUUUGCUCUUUCCCACUGCUGUUUCUAUGCAAAGUACUCCACUCUUCAGUAUUCUGUUUCCUAGCCAUCUUUCCAGGUUGAAAACUCAGAAUGUCAUUAUCUCUAAGCACACCGAUCAAAUCCUCAGAUAACUACACCAUUCCAAGCCUUUUGUUUUAUUAAAGAGGGAAGUAAAGUAACAGAAUGCCUUUUAUAUGCCAAGCACUCUUGGACAAAGGUCGUGCUGUUCCAUGCUGCGAAUGACCCUGUAAUGAAUGUCCCAUUUCACAGAUGAGGAUGGGAGGAUUGGCAGUCCAACAUCUGACCCACUUCCUGUGUGGGAUGAAUCUGCUGUUGUACUUAGGGUCCUUAAAAAGGAGUACUGGAUAUUACUCCGUGGCCACUGGGGCAGUGAGACCUUUCUUUGUUGCCCAAUGUGGUAAUCAGGUCUUGGCCAACAGGGUUCUGGGUUUGUAACAUGGGGCACAAAGAUGGCAGGAAAAUUAGACAUCCUUUCUAGUGGCAGAAGUUGUGGCCAAGAGCCUGGUGGCGACACUUUGGGACAGUGCCCAGCAGUUGAAAUUCCUGGCCAGAAUGUCCUGCUAAGGAUUGUUCUUCCUCUACUAGACUUUGGUUUUCAGCCGAAUUUCCAAGUCUGAUUCUUCAGCUCCUGUCAAUUCUGGAUGCUGGAAAUAUUUGUUCGGUAAAUUCCGGUUUGGGUUGGUACAGCCAGAGUUGGUGCGAUUCUUACACCAGAAACCCUGACUGAUCUGUGAGGAAACAGACUCCUCAGUCAAGGAGCUUGUUCAGGAAGCCGGCUAGCAAGUGGCAGUGUUCUGGCUGAGUAGUCCAGGUUGUUUCUUUGAUUUCAUGUUUCGAACAGAGAAAAGGAAUGAGUAUGAUGCACAGAUUAAAGGGGGGCUUGAAGACCAGAAGACUGGAGACCCCCAGAGCACAGGACCGUGCCUCUGCUAACGAUCUUCCUGUAUAUCCAUCUCUAAUGUCCACUCGGAGCUCCGCCAUGGCAGGCCACUGGGCUGGGCGUUCAGUGACCAGUCAACUGAAUAAGUACAGAGAGGAGAGGACUUCAUUUUCCAGCAGCACUUACAACCAAAAUGGGAGUUUGUACUCACCUGUUUCACCCUGUCUCCACCUCCCCUGUGCCUCCAGCACGCUUUUGCUUACUGGACUGUAAAAUGGAGCCCAACUAAGGUUCUGGUUGGCAGAAUAAAUAUCAGAUUUCUCGGGGUCAUUUGGGACACAGUCCUUGCCCAGACCUGGCUCCUGAUAGCCCAUGAACACUUUGUCUUUUGUGUUUUGGAAUUAAGAAAACGAGUUCUGCGUGUUUCCUACCAUCACAAGGAGCAGUGCAUUGAAUCGGUGCCAUUGUAAGCUUGAUUGUUGUUGCAUAGAUAAAAGCCUCAUUAAGUCCCUCCUCAGGAGAGAAGAAUCUUAUUCUGAGGACAGAGUUUCUAGCGGUGGGGUGGGGGCUUAGGGGCUUCUUGCUUGUCAUGGUUGCAACAACAGAACAGUAAAUGCAAGAAAUAAUUAAAUACCUGCACUUUCCCCCCUCAACACCCCUCCCCCUCCCCCACCCCACAGACCUCGUCAAGAGGCUGGGUGAGUUUUUAAUUAAUGCUGCAUUUUCAAUAAAUCCGUAUCUGAAUGUGGUGCCGAUUUUCCCUGGAUAAGGAAAGAUAAUAAUGAGAAUCCUAUUUUUUCAGUCCCACACUAAAGGGAUGCCUAGUAUAUUUAAUCAUGCUGUAGAAAUCCUGGCAGCUUUCUCUGAGCCCAGCCUCUGCUCUAAUUACAUUUCUAGAUUUUAGUAAAUUGAAAGAGAAAAUGUAGGAACAAAAUAAUUAAAACCGAAGAGGAAGUGCAUAUUAAAAAGGAGAAGCUGUUUAAAAUUCUUCCACACAGUGCUUCCAAGGACAUCCACAGUCAUUUAAUCAGAUCCACACCAAAUCAAAGUCCUUUGUACAGAGGCUGGUGGUAGCACGUCGCAGGUGGGGGCGGUAGGUCCUUCCAGUAGCAUUGCACCAGGCUACAGAUGGGGAUGGGACUCUUAGGUCCUUCCGGAUCUCUGGGGAUUCAGAGCCAGCCCAGACAAGCUGCGGGCAGACUCACUAGCACCGAGCGGCCCCCUCCCAGGCCCCAGGCAGAAUAUAACUAAACUGUAACGAUUAGCCCAAAUUAGGAGUGUAUUGUCCUUGGCUCCAAGUUUUCUCUUUUUGUAGCCCCUUCCCCAUCUCCAUGCUCCUCCCUCCAAGGAAUGAGUCCUCCUUUUCUUUCUUUGCUGCCAUCCUAUGACUUCUCAAGUCAACAACUGAGCAGCCUCAGGACACCAGGAGUCAGUCACGAGGAGCGGUUCCUGGGAGACCCGUGGGGCACUGUGGAUUUUCACAAGGACCGAAAGAAACCCUUGCUGGCGUCAGCUCCAGGAAUGUACGCUGAUGAUGAUGUUAAGUGAGAUCUCAUGGAAAAGUUUCCCAGCACCAGCCUGGUAGGUGACAAAAGCUCUUUUUGUGUCACGAGGGCGGGCACGGUCACUACCACACCGUUGUCCAAUGGAGGGUGUUCUCUUCGUGACCAGGGUAACUGAAAUCAGGCUGGGCAAGCUCUAGGAGUUCCGUGUGCUGUGUCCGCGACUCCUAGAACCAUGGUCAGC
Pipistrellus kuhlii (Kuhl's pipistrelle) is the source of this 6912-nucleotide long non-coding RNA. RefSeq lists it as uncharacterized. The record is from RefSeq and is a predicted model, not a curated record. The transcript has 3 exons. Lineage: Eukaryota; Metazoa; Chordata; Mammalia; Chiroptera; Vespertilionidae.